AGGAUGAACGCUGGCGGCGUGCCUAAUACAUGCAAGUCGAGCGAACGGACGAGAAGCUUGCUUCUCUGAUGUUAGCGGCGGACGGGUGAGUAACACGUGGAUAACCUACCUAUAAGACUGGGAUAACUUCGGGAAACCGGAGCUAAUACCGGAUAAUAUUUUGAACCGCAUGGUUCAAAAGUGAAAGACGGUCUUGCUGUCACUUAUAGAUGGAUCCGCGCUGCAUUAGCUAGUUGGUAAGGUAACGGCUUACCAAGGCAACGAUGCAUAGCCGACCUGAGAGGGUGAUCGGCCACACUGGAACUGAGACACGGUCCAGACUCCUACGGGAGGCAGCAGUAGGGAAUCUUCCGCAAUGGGCGAAAGCCUGACGGAGCAACGCCGCGUGAGUGAUGAAGGUCUUCGGAUCGUAAAACUCUGUUAUUAGGGAAGAACAUAUGUGUAAGUAACUGUGCACAUCUUGACGGUACCUAAUCAGAAAGCCACGGCUAACUACGUGCCAGCAGCCGCGGUAAUACGUAGGUGGCAAGCGUUAUCCGGAAUUAUUGGGCGUAAAGCGCGCGUAGGCGGUUUUUUAAGUCUGAUGUGAAAGCCCACGGCUCAACCGUGGAGGGUCAUUGGAAACUGGAAAACUUGAGUGCAGAAGAGGAAAGUGGAAUUCCAUGUGUAGCGGUGAAAUGCGCAGAGAUAUGGAGGAACACCAGUGGCGAAGGCGACUUUCUGGUCUGUAACUGACGCUGAUGUGCGAAAGCGUGGGGAUCAAACAGGAUUAGAUACCCUGGUAGUCCACGCCGUAAACGAUGAGUGCUAAGUGUUAGGGGGUUUCCGCCCCUUAGUGCUGCAGCUAACGCAUUAAGCACUCCGCCUGGGGAGUACGACCGCAAGGUUGAAACUCAAAGGAAUUGACGGGGACCCGCACAAGCGGUGGAGCAUGUGGUUUAAUUCGAAGCAACGCGAAGAACCUUACCAAAUCUUGACAUCCUUUGACAACUCUAGAGAUAGAGCCUUCCCCUUCGGGGGACAAAGUGACAGGUGGUGCAUGGUUGUCGUCAGCUCGUGUCGUGAGAUGUUGGGUUAAGUCCCGCAACGAGCGCAACCCUUAAGCUUAGUUGCCAUCAUUAAGUUGGG
RNAcentral lists this ribosomal RNA (1128 nucleotides) under Staphylococcus aureus. Its description in RNAcentral is "bacterial SSU rRNA". It matches the Rfam family "Bacterial small subunit ribosomal RNA", at positions 26 to 1135 of the family's 1533-position model. The record is from RNAcentral. Lineage: Bacteria; Bacillati; Bacillota; Bacilli; Caryophanales; Staphylococcaceae.